CCUACGGGUGGCAGCAGUGAGGAAUAUUGGUCAAUGGGCGCGAGCCUGAACCAGCCAAGUAGCGUGAAGGAUGACUGCCCUACGGGUUGUAAACGUCUUUUAUAAAGGAAUAAAGUGAGGCACGUGAGCCUUUUUAGAUGGACUUUAUGAAUAAAGAUCGGCUAACUCCGUUCCAGCAGCGGCGGUAAUACGGAGGAUCCGAGCGUUGUCCGGAUUUAUUGGGUUUAAAGGGAGCGUAGAGGGGUUGUUAAGUCAAUUGUGAAAGUUUGCGGCUCAACCGUAAAAUUGCAAUUGAUACUGGCAGUCUUGAGUACAGUUGAGGUAGGCGGAAUUCGUGGUGUAGCGGUGAAAUGCUUAGAUAUCACGAAGAACUCCGAUUGCGAAGGCAGCUUACUAAACUGCCACUGACAUUGAUGCUCGAAAGUGUGGGUAUCAAACAGGAUUAGAUACCCUGGUAGUC
RNAcentral lists this ribosomal RNA (460 nucleotides) under uncultured bacterium. Its description in RNAcentral is "partial 16S ribosomal RNA". It matches the Rfam family "Bacterial small subunit ribosomal RNA", at positions 338 to 795 of the family's 1533-position model. The record is from RNAcentral.